RNAcentral lists this ribosomal RNA (430 nucleotides) under Bacteroidota bacterium. RNAcentral describes it as "Bacteroidetes bacterium partial 16S ribosomal RNA". It matches the Rfam family "Bacterial small subunit ribosomal RNA", at positions 355 to 776 of the family's 1533-position model. The record is from RNAcentral. Lineage: Bacteria; Pseudomonadati; Bacteroidota.
UAGGGAAUCUUCCGCAAUGGGCGAAAGCCUGACGGAGCAACGCCGCGUGAGUGAUGAAGGUCUUCGGAUCGUAAAGCUCUGUUGUUAAGGAAGAACGAGUGUGAGAAUGGAAAGUUCAUACUGUGACGGUACUUAACCAGAAAGGGACGGCUAACUACGUGCCAGCAGCCGCGGUAAUACGUAGGGCGCAAGCGUUAUCCGGAAUUAUUGGGCGUAAAGAGCUUGUAGGCGGUUCGUCGCGUCUGGUGUGAAAGCCCAUCGCUUAACGGUGGGUUUGCGCCGGGUACGGGCGGGCUAGAGUGCAGUAGGGGAGGCUGGAAGUCUCGGUGUAACGGUGGAAUGUGUAGAUAUCGGGAAGAACACCAAUGGCGAAGGCAGGUCUCUGGGCUGUUACUGACGCUGAGAAGCGAAAGCGUGGGGAGCGAACAGG